Molecule: ribosomal RNA, 396 nt
Filed under: uncultured bacterium
Lineage: Bacteria
Description: bacterial SSU rRNA
Rfam family: Bacterial small subunit ribosomal RNA
Source: RNAcentral
GACGAACGCUGGCGGCGUGCUUAACACAUGCAAGUCGAGCGGUAAGGCCCUUUCGGGGGUACACGAGCGGCGAACGGGUGAGUAACACGUGGGUGACCUGCCCUCAGCUCUGGGAUAAGCCUGGGAAACCGGGUCUAAUACUGGAUAUGACUCCAUGACGCAUGUUGUGGGGUGGAAAGCCUUGUGCGGCUGAGGAUGGGCCCGCGGCCUAUCAGCUUGUUGGUGGGGGNGAUGGCCUACCAAGGCGACGACGGGUAGCCGGCCUGAGAGGGCGACCGGCCACACUGGGACUGAGACACGGCCCAGACUCCUACGGGAGGCAGCAGUGGGGAAUCUUGCGCAAUGGGCGAAAGCCUGACGCAGCGACGCCGCGUGAGGGAUGACGGCCUGUGUAAC